UAGGGAAUCUUCCACAAUGGGCGAAAGCCUGAUCCAGCAAUGCCGCGUGUGUGAAGAAGGUCUUCGGAUUGUAAAGCACUUUCGACGGGGACGAUGAUGACGGUACCCGUAGAAGAAGCCCCGGCUAACUUCGUGCCNG
This 139-nucleotide ribosomal RNA is filed under the name uncultured bacterium. RNAcentral describes it as "partial 16S ribosomal RNA". It matches the Rfam family "Bacterial small subunit ribosomal RNA", at positions 355 to 511 of the family's 1533-position model. The record is from RNAcentral.